UACGUAGGGUGCGAGCGUUAAUCGGAAUUACUGGGCGUAAAGCGUGCGCAGGCGGUUUUGUAAGCCAGAUGUGAAAUCCCCGGGCUUAACCUGGGAAUGGCAUUUGGGACUGCAAGGCUUGAGUGCGGCAGAGGAGACUGGAAUUCCUGGUGUAGCAGUGAAAUGCGUAGAUAUCAGGAGGAACACCGAUGGCGAAGGCAGGUCUCUGGGCUGACACUGACGCUCAUACACGAAAGCGUGGGGAGCAAACAGG
This 253-nucleotide ribosomal RNA is filed under the name uncultured bacterium. RNAcentral describes it as "partial 16S ribosomal RNA". It matches the Rfam family "Bacterial small subunit ribosomal RNA", at positions 524 to 776 of the family's 1533-position model. The record is from RNAcentral.